Long non-coding RNA from Bombyx mori (domestic silkworm), 1561 nucleotides. RefSeq lists it as uncharacterized. The transcript is spliced from 2 exons. NCBI's taxonomy places the organism in Eukaryota, Metazoa, Arthropoda, Insecta, Lepidoptera, Bombycidae. The record is from RefSeq and is a predicted model, not a curated record.
GUACGUGUGUGCCACGCGUGUACAGCUCGAGCCCGCGGUAGUUUCUUCACUCAUUUGAUGGCGCGCGCUUCGGGAAGGAACGCGUCCCAAUAUCUAAUCGCCUGUAAAACGUAAACUUUAGUUAGAAGCACAUGCUUAGAAUCUACUAAUCUAUAUAUAUCUAUACGUGAAGCAAAAACUUUGUAUCCUUUUUUACGAAAAUUGCGCGGACGGAGAAUACAUCCCUACUCAUACAAGUUUCACUACUGAUGCGGACCUUUUGGCGGGAAAGCGAGGAGUGAGGUUGUGUGAUUUGUUUUAUUUUGUCUAUUUAGUGUUUCUUCAGAUUUAAAUGUGUAAUAACGGUGGUUUUAUAACUGUUUACUGAAACAAAGCCGCUGGACGUAACUUUGCGGGAUCCUCCAAAAAGUCCACUGAAAAAAUCUCAGUAAAUGACCACCAUUUUACCGAGAUUAUAUUUCAUUCCAUCUCAUCUCAUUUCAUGCCAUGUUUCAUAUUAAUCAACUUCGUUUCAUUUCAUAAUAUAAUUUUUCAUAUAAAAAAGUUUUCAUUCAAAUAAAAAUAAGAUUUGACCUAAAAGUUUUAGUUACCAGGUCAUAAAAUCCCUUAAAAAAACUGUCUAUUGCUGACGCAUUACUAAAUCCAGUAAGUACGCGUGCUGCGUAUUGACAGCCCUGACCUGAGCUUGAUGCUUCAUGUGUUCCUCGAGGUAGUGCAGCAGCGUCGCCCGCAACUCAUCGACCCGGAUCUCCUCCCAUCGCUCGAUUUCCUUCUUGAUGACGCGCGAUAUCGAGUCGAACUCUUGUUGAUUGCGUUCGACUUUUGUUUCCCACUGUAUUAAAAAAAAAAUAUACAGGAUUUAAUUAAAGUGUUUUAAGUCGAAAAAAAAGGCAAUGUUAGACGAUCGCUUUUAUUAGCUUCAUGCAUAUGUUAGUAUGUAGUUGAACAUGAUUUUGACCUACUUCAAAACGUCGGAUUAACUCGAAAUUUGGCGUACUUAUAAAGGACCGAUGACAAUUUAAUAUUUUUAAGCAGUUAGACCCGUUAUUUACUUUAAACAGUCGAAACAACAAAUUUAUUUGAGCACCUUAUUUUUUUUACCUAAGCAAUUUGGAAACUGUUGUAUUUGCCUGAAGGUACGAUAAUGAAUAAUUUAUGAUACCGUAUUAAACUAAUACCAUUAUGAUACCGUAAACUAAAAAAAUAAAAAACUAUUUUUAACAACUGUUUUUAAUAAUUUAAUAAAAAUUAUUAGAACAUAGAGUAUAUAUUUAUGACUGAAUUAGCAUACAAAUUUUUCAAUUUUUCAUUCUUAUUGCACAGUAAAUUAUUACAAAACAGGAUGGGGGAGUAGUUCUUAAAAUUUUCUUAAAUUAUAAAUUAAAUUUUAAGAUCAACUGGAAUUAGUUUCGAGUAUGUAGGAUUUAACACAAAGUGGUACGUACAUAGGACUCUUCAGAGAUAUUGUUUAGUAACAGGUACUGAAUUAGUACAUAAUUCAGAUCUUGGUACCAAAUGAAAUACCUUAUUAAGUAUAAAUAAAAUAUAAAUUAGUUCAUAA